RNAcentral lists this ribosomal RNA (438 nucleotides) under uncultured bacterium. Its description in RNAcentral is "bacterial SSU rRNA". It matches the Rfam family "Bacterial small subunit ribosomal RNA", at positions 338 to 793 of the family's 1533-position model. The record is from RNAcentral.
CCUACGGGAGGCAGCAGUGGGGAAUCUUGGACAAUGGGGGCAACCCUGAUCCAGCCAUGCCGCGUGAGUGAUGAAGGCCUUAGGGUNGUAAAGCUCUUUCACUGGUGAUGAUAAUGACAGUACCCGGAAAAGAAACCCCGGCUAACUCCGUGCCAGCAGCCGCGGUAAUACGGAGGGGGUUAGCGUUGUUCGGAAUUACUGGGCGUAAAGGGCGCGUAGGCGGAUUGUAAAGUUGGGGGUGAAAUCCCCGGGCUCAACCCGGGAACUGCCUUUAAAACUGUCAGUCUAGAGUUCGAGAGAGGGGAGUGGAAUUCCCAGUGUAGAGGUGAAAUUCGUAGAUAUUGGGAGGAACACCAGUGGCGAAGGCGGCUCCCUGGCUCGAUUCUGACGCUGAGGUGCGAAAGUGUGGGGAGCAAACAGGAUUAGAUACCCUGGUAG